GGAAACGUGACCGAGUGGCCGAAGGUGCUCCCCUGCUAAGGGAGUAUGGGGUGUAGAGCCUCAUCGAGGGUUCGACUCCCUCCGUUUCCGCCA
This 93-nucleotide transfer RNA is filed under the name Burkholderiales bacterium. RNAcentral describes it as "tRNA-Ser". It matches the Rfam family "tRNA". From Rfam's summary of the family: Transfer RNA (tRNA) molecules are approximately 80 nucleotides in length. The record is from RNAcentral. Lineage: Bacteria; Pseudomonadati; Pseudomonadota; Betaproteobacteria; Burkholderiales.